AUGGAAGGUUGAAUGGUUCUUGGAAGAUUUGUUUCUUGGCGGUUAACGGUCAAUCAUUCUUGGUUAUAGACGGUUAUCUGUUAAAUCCUCUUUGGGG
Molecule: ribosomal RNA, 97 nt
Filed under: Alexandrium margalefii
Lineage: Eukaryota; Dinophyceae; Gonyaulacales; Pyrocystaceae
Description: partial Bacterial large subunit ribosomal RNA
Source: RNAcentral